UACGUAGGAUGCAAGCGUUGUCCGGAUUUAUUGGGCGUAAAGAGUUCGUAGGCGGUUUGUUAAGUCUGAUGUAAAAGACUGGGGCUCAACCUCGGGACUGCAUUGGAUACUGGCAGACUGGAGUACGGUAGAGGCAAGUGGAAUUCCCAGUGUAGCGGUGAAAUGCGUAGAUAUUGGGAAGAACACCGGUGGCGCAAGCGACUUGCUGGGCCGUAACUGACGCUGAGGAACGAAAGCUAGGGUAGCGAAUGGG
This 253-nucleotide ribosomal RNA is filed under the name uncultured bacterium. RNAcentral's name for it is "partial 16S ribosomal RNA". It matches the Rfam family "Bacterial small subunit ribosomal RNA", at positions 524 to 776 of the family's 1533-position model. The record is from RNAcentral.